UUUACAUGAUGAUAUAGUAUUUUACCAGUUCUGCUUCUGAACCAAUGUAAUUAGUCUGUUUCAUUUACCACUUGACAA
RNAcentral lists this small nucleolar RNA (78 nucleotides) under Anopheles gambiae str. PEST. Its description in RNAcentral is "partial AGAP013631-RA". Lineage: Eukaryota; Metazoa; Arthropoda; Insecta; Diptera; Culicidae. The record is from RNAcentral.